This is a small nuclear RNA of Pteronotus mesoamericanus, 107 nucleotides long. The record is from RefSeq and is a predicted model, not a curated record. Lineage: Eukaryota; Metazoa; Chordata; Mammalia; Chiroptera; Mormoopidae.
GUGCUUGUUUCAGCAGCACAUAGUCUAAAAUUGGAAUGAUACAGAAAAGAUUAGCAUGGCCCCUGUGCAAGGAUGACAAUCCAACUCAUGUAGAAUUUCAUAGUUAA